This 301-nucleotide ribosomal RNA is filed under the name uncultured bacterium. RNAcentral's name for it is "partial 16S ribosomal RNA". It matches the Rfam family "Bacterial small subunit ribosomal RNA", at positions 509 to 807 of the family's 1533-position model. The record is from RNAcentral.
CAGUAGCCACGGUAAUACGUAGGGUGCAAGCGUUAAUCGGAAUUACUGGGCGUAAAGCGUGCGCAGGCGGUUCGUUAAGACAGAUGUGAAAUCCCCGGGCUUAACCUGGGAACUGCAUUUGUGACUGGCGGGCUAAAGUAUGGCAGAGGGGGGUAGAAUUCCACGUGUAGCAGUGAAAUGCGUAGAGAUGUGGAGGAAUACCGAUGGCGAAGGCAGCCCCCUGGGCCAAUACUGACGCCCAUGCACGAAAGCGUGGGGAGCAAACAGGAUUAGAUACCCGCGUAGUCCCUGUCUCUUAUAC